Molecule: ribosomal RNA, 254 nt
Filed under: uncultured bacterium
Lineage: Bacteria
Description: partial 16S ribosomal RNA
Rfam family: Bacterial small subunit ribosomal RNA
Source: RNAcentral
GACAGAGGAUGCAAGCGUUAUCCGGAAUGAUUGGGCGUAAAGCGUCUGUAGGUGGCUUUUUAAGUCCGCCGUCAAAUCCCAGGGCUCAACCCUGGACAGGCGGUGGAAACUACCGAGCUGGAGUACGGUAGGGGCAGAGGGAAUUUCCGGUGGAGCGGUGAAAUGCGUAGAGUAUCGGAAGGAACACCUGUGGCGAAAGCGGCUCACUGGACCAUUACUGACGCUGAUGCACGAAAGCUAGGGGAGCAAACAGG